This is a non-coding RNA of Ixodes scapularis (black-legged tick), 71 nucleotides long. The record is from Rfam. NCBI's taxonomy places the organism in Eukaryota, Metazoa, Arthropoda, Arachnida, Ixodida, Ixodidae.
CCCUGGUUAGCUCAGUUGGUAGAGCGCUCCACUUGUAAUGGAGGUCCCGGGUUCGAUACCCGGACCAGGCG